CUCUGACUCAACUUUCCAUUCUCAUAUUUGAGAAGAUAGGCACAAAUGAAAUACAUUUGACAAUAUCUAAUUGUUUAGUUUGUCCCAAAUGUCAAAAAAUGAGGAGAAAAACAAAACUAACAAAUUUGAUAUAAUUUGCAAAGUGUGUUUGUCAUAUAAAAGAAGUCACAGUUGAAUCCCCUUGACAACUAGCUAACUCAUUGGGUAUUUACUACAUCCCUGUAACUGUUUUAAUUGCAUCUGUUAAUCUAUGUAAUGCUCUGAGCUGUUCAUACUGCAAAGAUGGCUGUGAUUUCAGCACUGAGAGGUUAAAUAACUUUGCCGAAAGUUGCACAUAGCAAAUGUCAGAGACAGAUUUUGAAUAGAAGUAGUCUGACUCCUAAACCUGAUUAUUAAUGUCAAAGAUAUCCUGAUUCGGAGUGACUUCAGCGCACCCCUAGUAUACUGGAAAUAAGAUAUGGUUUACCUAAAGUACAACAACCUUUAUUGGACUGCUUUCAGUAAGAUAUGCCUGUGGAAACCAGUACUGUAAUUUCAGGAUUUUCCCUCUAACUAAUGAAGGGCACUUUCUUU
This 573-nucleotide long non-coding RNA is filed under the name Marmota monax (woodchuck). Lineage: Eukaryota; Metazoa; Chordata; Mammalia; Rodentia; Sciuridae. The record is from RNAcentral.